Molecule: ribosomal RNA, 468 nt
Filed under: uncultured bacterium
Lineage: Bacteria
Description: partial 16S ribosomal RNA
Rfam family: Bacterial small subunit ribosomal RNA
Source: RNAcentral
UACGCACGCUGGCGGCGUGCUUAACACAUGCAAGUCGAACGGAAAGGCCCUGCUUUUGUGGGGUGCUCGAGUGGCGAACGGGUGAGUAACACGUGAGUAACCUGCCCUUGACUUUGGGAUAACUUCAGGAAACUGGGGCUAAUACCGGAUAGGAGCUCCUGCUGCAUGGUGGGGGUUGGAAAGUUUCGGCGGUUGGGGAUAGACUCGCGGCUUAUCAGCUUGUUGGUGGGGUAGUGGCUUACCAAGGCUUUGACGGGUAGCCGGCCUGAGAGGGUGACCGGCCACAUUGGGACUGAGAUACGGCCCAGACUCCUACGGGAGGCAGCAGUGGGGAAUAUUGCACAAUGGGCGGAAGCCUGAUGCAGCAACGCCGCGUGCGGGAUGACGGCCUUCGGUUUGUAAACCGCUUUCGCCUGUGACGAAGCGUGAGUGACGGUAAUGGGUAAAGAAGCACCGGCUAACUACGUG